GGCGGACGUAGCCGAGUGGAUCAAGGCAAU
RNAcentral lists this transfer RNA (30 nucleotides) under Microsorum scolopendria. Its description in RNAcentral is "partial tRNA-His". Lineage: Eukaryota; Viridiplantae; Streptophyta; Polypodiopsida; Polypodiales; Polypodiaceae. The record is from RNAcentral.